Molecule: ribosomal RNA, 523 nt
Filed under: uncultured bacterium
Lineage: Bacteria
Description: partial 16S ribosomal RNA
Rfam family: Bacterial small subunit ribosomal RNA
Source: RNAcentral
GACGAACGCUAGCGGCGUGCCUAAUACAUGCAAGUCGAGCGCAGGAAACUGACGGAACUCUUCGGAGGGAAGGCAGUGGAAUGAGCGGCGGACGGGUGAGUAACACGUAAGGAACCUGCCUCAAGGAUUGGGAUAACUCCGAGAAAUCGGAGCUAAUACCGGAUAGUUCAACGGACCGCAUGGUCCGUUGAUGAAAGGCGCUCCGGCGUCGCCUUGAGAUGGCCUUGCGGUGCAUUAGCUAGUUGGUGGGGUAACGGCUCACCAAGGCGACGAUGCAUAGCCGACCUGAGAGGGUGAUCGGCCACACUGGGACUGAGACACGGCCCAGACUCCUACGGGAGGCAGCAGUAGGGAAUCCUCCACAAUGGACGAAGUCUGAUGGAGCAACGCCGCGUGAGUGAAGAAGGUUUUCGGAUCGUAAAGCUCUGUUGUAAGGGAAGAACACGUACGAGAGGAAAUGCUCGUACCUUGACGGUACCUUACGAGAAAGCCACGGCUAACUACGUGCCAGCCGCCGCCGUAA